AUGGAAAUACUUGUUCCUCAUGUGCAGAUCAGGAAGCUGGAGUCAAGUAUUUCUCCUGUUGGACAAAUGCCUCUGGAAUUCCACAAACUGCUUGGCAUAUCUGACAGAGCAGGCAGAAGAAUCCCAGCCUUCAUUUCCUGUCCAGUCUGCCUGCAUGGAGCAUGGCUUUGGAGACACUGCUCCCUGCUUCAGUUGUUCAAGAGUCUAAUGGAGAGUCCUGCCCUUUUGAAUGGGAAUUUUGCCAGCUGCAUUAACUGGGACAAGAUUAUUGACUGUCUGAGGCAAAGCUUAGAAGAUAAUUGUUGUGUUUAACUGCUAAUUCUUUAGCAUUAUCCCAGUAACUUGUUGAUGCAUCCAAGAGUUGCUUGAUGUCUAUAUAUACACACACCCACACAUGUGCACUCGCCUGCCUUUGGGAAUACCCUCACCCUUGUUAAUAUGAGUACAAAGCUUCACUGGGCUUUCUUAUUUGUAAACAGAAAAUGUUUGGUCUUAUGUCCUGAUAAAGGGAGAUACUACAAACACAGUGUGGAGCUGUCUUUGUGUCUAUGUUCAUCUCAGAAACUCAGCAGCUCACCCUUGCAUGCGGACUGCCAUGGCUCAAGAUGCUGAAGAUGCAGAAACAGCAAAGGGAAAAAGUAACGCUGCACAUUGCUAACCCCCUGCUGCAGGGAUGGCUCACCCGUUUGGAGAGCUGUGCACAGCCCAUGACAUCCCUCACUCGGUAGGAUCUCUGUGAUCUGAGAAUUGGUACCUGCCACCCGAUGUGUCUCCUGCUGCUAGACAGGUCUAUGAAGUAAUGGAGCCUGGCUGUCUGCAGUCAGCACUGCUGUACUACAUCCAAAGCAAGCUUGCCAGUCAGCAAAUGCUGCAUUAAUCUUUCAGGGAGUGUUUGUUUUGCUUGUUUUGCUAGGCUGAGUUUCAAGCAACUGAUAAUGUGCUCAUGAGCAGUUCUCCUGUUGCAGCCCAUUUUUCAAAAAGAAGUGUGAAGGCUGAAGCUCCCUAGGUUGGGUGGAACACGGGUUGGAAGGGUUAUAAAUGGUCUUGCUUCACUGUGUGAGCUCACAGCGCUUUUGAGUGCAUGUUAAUACAUCUGCAGGUACAUUUGGGCCAGUGGAGCUGUGGCUCUUUGAAGUCUGAUGAGUGUUAUAAGAACAGACUUUGGACUUGGUUCUUCUCCGUUAAUGUUAACUCUGCUUGUGGAGUUAUCUCACUGCAAAUAAGAUGCACUUUUGUGUGCUGAGUCAAACCUUCUGACUGCUGAAGGAGAAACUCUGAAGGCUUCUGAGGGUUAGAUAAGACAAACAUUUUACAGGUCACAGGAUUUUAAGUGUUGAAAUGCCUGGAAUUUCAGGAGGUAAAUGACAGUGUGCCUGGCUUGUCCCCACUUGUCCCUGCAGUGUUGCUGCUCUGUCCAGCUGCAGCACUGAACUUACAGCUCUCACUUCAAGGCCCAUCCUUUCAAGUCUUUUUGCAUUUAGCUCCUCUAAGCAAAAAAGAAUUUAGACACACAAAUAACUUUUAGAAUGUGGAAAAUUCACAUUUUGUAUGUAUUUUGAUUCUUGUAUGUGCAGAACCUUUAAAUACAAGGCACUUUUCUGGAUUUCUCUCUGUGGUUUUUUAUUUUAAGACACUCUGUGCUCUUCGAUGACUUGAAAAAUAAAAAUCUCGCAACAUUUCCA
Molecule: long non-coding RNA, 1682 nt
Organism: Parus major (Great Tit)
Lineage: Eukaryota; Metazoa; Chordata; Aves; Passeriformes; Paridae
Source: Ensembl